This 303-nucleotide unclassified non-coding RNA is filed under the name plant metagenome. Its description in RNAcentral is "partial contains 5.8S ribosomal RNA, internal transcribed spacer 2, and large subunit ribosomal RNA". The stretch from base 1 to 105 matches the Rfam family "5.8S ribosomal RNA", at positions 50 to 154 of the family's 154-position model. The record is from RNAcentral.
GAAAUGCGAUAAGUAAUGUGAAUUGCAGAAUUCAGUGAAUCAUCGAAUCUUUGAACGCACAUUGCGCCCGCCAGUAUUCUGGCGGGCAUGCCUGUUCGAGCGUCAUUUCAACUAUCAAGCCCCGCGCUUGUGUUGGGGACCUGCGGCUGCCGCAGGCCCUGAAAACCAGUGGCGGGCUCGCUGUCACACCGGGCGUAGUAGAUUUUAUCUCGCUCAGGGCGUGCUGCGGGUUCCGGCCGUUAAAAAGCCUUUUUUACCCAAGGUUGACCUCGGAUCAGGUAGGAAGACCCGCUGAACUUAAGC